This is a small nuclear RNA of Sorex araneus (European shrew), 102 nucleotides long. The record is from RefSeq and is a predicted model, not a curated record. Lineage: Eukaryota; Metazoa; Chordata; Mammalia; Eulipotyphla; Soricidae.
GUGCUCUUUGACAGCACAUAUACUAAAGUUGAAAUGAUACAGAGAUUAUCAUGGCCCCUGUGCAAGGAUGACAUGCAAAUUUGUGAAGCAUUUCUUAUUUUU